GCCCCAGUAGCUCAGUCGGACAGAGCAACUGCCUUCUAAGCAGUGGGUCGCGGGUUCAAUUCCUGCCUGGGGCACCA
This 77-nucleotide transfer RNA is filed under the name Dehalococcoidia bacterium. RNAcentral's name for it is "tRNA-Arg". It matches the Rfam family "tRNA". From Rfam's summary of the family: Transfer RNA (tRNA) molecules are approximately 80 nucleotides in length. Their secondary structure includes four short double-helical elements and three loops (D, anti-codon, and T loops). Lineage: Bacteria; Bacillati; Chloroflexota; Dehalococcoidia. The record is from RNAcentral.